This 239-nucleotide ribosomal RNA is filed under the name uncultured bacterium. Its description in RNAcentral is "partial 16S ribosomal RNA". It matches the Rfam family "Bacterial small subunit ribosomal RNA", at positions 100 to 334 of the family's 1533-position model. The record is from RNAcentral.
CCGGCACGGGUGAGUAACACGUAUCCAACCUGCCGUCUACUCUUGGACAGCCUUCUGAAAGGAAAGAUUUAAUACAAGAUGGCAUCAUGAGUUCACAUGUUCACAUGAUUAAAGGUAUUCCGGUAGACGAUGGGGAUGCGUUCCAUUAGAUAGUAGGCGGGGUAACGGCCCACCUAGUCUUCGAUGGAUAGGGGUUCUGAGAGGAAGGUCCCCCACAUUGGAACUGAGACACGGUCCAA